RNAcentral lists this signal recognition particle RNA (91 nucleotides) under marine eukaryotic metagenome. RNAcentral's name for it is "Bacterial small signal recognition particle RNA". It matches the Rfam family "Bacterial small signal recognition particle RNA". Rfam says of the family: The signal recognition particle (SRP) is a universally conserved ribonucleoprotein involved in the co-translational targeting of proteins to membranes. Archaeal SRP consists of a 7S RNA and homologues of the eukaryotic SRP19 and SRP54 proteins. The record is from RNAcentral.
CGGUCCCCUCGCGACGAUAAGUUGUGAACCCCGUCAGGCCCGGAAGGGAGCAGCGGCAGCAAUGGCUUCGGGCGCCGGGGUGUGGCUGGUU